CCUACGGGAGGCAGCAGUAGGGAAUCUUUCACAAUGGGCGAAAGCCUGAUGGAGCAACGCCGCGUGCAGGAUGAAGGCCUUCGGGUUGUAAACUGCUUUUAUAAGCGAGAAAUACGAUGGUAACCUAUGAAUAAGGAUCGGCUAAUAACGUGCCAGCAGCCGCGGUCAUACGUAGGCUCCGAGCAUUAUACGGAGUGACUGGGGGUAAAAAGUUGCGUAGGUGGCAUAAUAAGUAGCUAGGGAAAUCUGGUGGCUCAACCAUUCAAACUAUUAGCUAAACUGUUAAGCUCGAGACCGUUAGGGGCAUCUGGAAUUUCUGGUGUAGGAGUGAAAUGCGUAGAUAUUAGAAAGAACACCGAUAGCGUAGGCAGGAUGCUGGGACGGUUCUGACACUAAGGCACGAAAGCGUAGGGAGCAAACGGGAUUAGAUACCCGUGUAGUC
Molecule: ribosomal RNA, 442 nt
Filed under: uncultured bacterium
Lineage: Bacteria
Description: partial 16S ribosomal RNA
Rfam family: Bacterial small subunit ribosomal RNA
Source: RNAcentral